Molecule: ribosomal RNA, 428 nt
Filed under: uncultured bacterium
Lineage: Bacteria
Description: partial 16S ribosomal RNA
Rfam family: Bacterial small subunit ribosomal RNA
Source: RNAcentral
GUGGGGAAUAUUGGGCAAUGGGCGAAAGCCUGACCCAGCAACGCCGCGUGAAGGAAGAAGGCCUUCGGGUUGUAAACUUCUUUUAUCAGGGACGAAAAAAAUGACGGUACCUGAUGAAUAAGCCACGGCUAACUACGUGCCAGCAGCCGCGGUAAUACGUAGGUGGCAAGCGUUGUCCGGAUUUUCUGGGUGUAAAGGGCGCGUAGGCGGGAGUGCAAGUCAGAUGUGAAAUCCCCAGGCUCAACCUGGGAACUGCAUUUGAAACUGUGCUUCUUGAGUGAUGGAGAGGCAAGCGGAAUUCCGUGUGUAGCGGUGAAAUGCGUAGAUAUACGGAGGAACACCAGUGGCGAAGGCGGCUUGCUGGACAUUAACUGACGCUGAAGCGCGAAAGCGUGGGGAGCAAACAGGAUUAGAAACCCUUGUAGUCC